UACGUAGGGGGCGAGCGUUGUCCGGAUUUAUUGGGCGUAAAGAGCGUGUAGGCGGCUUGGUAGGUCUGCUGUGAAAACUCGGGGCUCAACCCCGAGACGUCGGUGGAAACCACCUGGCUAGAGUCCGGAAGAGGAGAGUGGAAUUCCUGGUGUAGCGGUGAAAUGCGCAGAUAUCAGGAAGAAUAUCCGUGGCGAAGGCGGCUCUCUGGGCAUUACCUGACGCUGAGGAGCGAAAGUGUGGGGAGCGAACAGG
Molecule: ribosomal RNA, 253 nt
Filed under: uncultured bacterium
Lineage: Bacteria
Description: partial 16S ribosomal RNA
Rfam family: Bacterial small subunit ribosomal RNA
Source: RNAcentral